GUGCUGCCAUAAGUCUGUUUACAUUGGGAUCAGGGUGUGGACUGUAGUGUUGGUUCUGUCUUUAGCCUGACACUCAUUAAGACACACAAAGAGUCGGCUGAUAACACUAAGUGUUUCCUGUUUGUCCAGGCUGCAGGCUGGCUGCACGGACAAGGGCAAGAGAACAAGGAGCAACAGAGGUAAAGGGAUCCAGUUUGUUUUUUUGUUGGAGAGGAGGAGACCUCUGCGGGUAAUUCGGCUCCCAGUAGAAACCUCCUGAACACUGAAGGAAUGCUAACUAGGAGAAGCUGACUGCAGUGACGGCAAUGGUCGUGAAGACAACAACUCCCAUUAUCCCACACUACCUCACGACGUCAUCAAACUCCGUCUUUUAUUAUUGUUUCGACGUGAGAGACCCAUUGGCAGCAGAAAUAACACAUUAUAUGUUUAGUAAGUGCCAAAAAUAGAGCAAACCGUAAAUGUAGAGUUUAGUCUCCAGUGUCAUGUAGCUCAGAUGAAUUGAAGCCAUGAAACAGCUGUGUGGAGUGAAAGGAGACAGCAUAAUCCACACAUCAAUUAGACACAGAGAGACUGGAUGAUACGGGGAGGGUGUGUGUGUCUGUGCAUAUGCUGUGGAUACUGGUCUCAAGCGUGUGUGUGUGUGUGUGUGUGUGUGUGUGUGUGUGAGAAAGAAAGAGCAUGUGUGAAAGCCUUGAGUAAUCCUGCUUAGUCUAGCAGCUGGGGGAGCAGGUUUAAGUAGUGUGACAGUAUGAAGGGCUGGGUGAGGGUUUAAUACUAAAACUACUGUCAACAAUAGAAUACACACAUAAUAUUUAACAAAGAAUGUGCAAGAGUAUGUGUACAACAGCACUGCCAGGAAGUAGUGUGCUUGGGGGAUAGUACUAAGGGGCUGAGAGUAAGUAAAUUAACUAAUUUAGAGCAGCUCUGCUCAAACAGCAGGGACAGGGUCGUUAAUGUGGUCUCAAAGGGUUCAAACACACUACAAGAUUUAAUUAAGAUUUCUCAAACUAAUUACACAUGGCUGUUCUUUCUAACAUUAAGGCUGUUUCAAGGAAACCCGAAGAAAAACUAUUGUGCUUUCAGAAUGAUUUUCUACUAUAGAAUAUAAAAUCACAUAAGCCGCAACUUUAUGAUUGAGCUAAAAUGUGUGACAAAACAGCAUUAUAACAAAGUACAGUAGUGCCGCAGAGACCAACAAAUCUUGUUUUCCAGAUGUUAGAAAACAUGUUGGUUUGGUACAAACCCCAACAAAUGUCACAUCAUUAUAAUUUUUAUGUUUUUUUUCAGUGAAAAUUAAAUUUGUGAUGCAAAAAUGA
This is a long non-coding RNA of Dicentrarchus labrax (European seabass), 1316 nucleotides long. RefSeq lists it as uncharacterized. Lineage: Eukaryota; Metazoa; Chordata; Actinopteri; Moronidae. The record is from RefSeq and is a predicted model, not a curated record. The transcript is spliced from 2 exons.